GUAAUUCUGCUUUUUUUAAUGAAUUGUUUUGUUUUGAUUGCUGUUUCUGUCUUGCGUUGAGUGAUUUGGGAUGUGAUUUACACUUCAGAGCCACCGUAUUUUCUGAAUGACUGGAAGCAAGAAAAGCACGCAGAUAAACAAAACUAGCCACACCUUACAAAACUUUCAUGUCAGAUUAUACUGCAAAAUCACAAAUGUAAUGCUACUGUUAAAAGCCAACUGUAAUAAUAAUAAUAAUAUUAAUACAUUUUAUUUCAAGCGUCUUUGUCAUGGUGCCUCUGUCAGCCCUGCCCCUCUCUGCUCUGCUCUGGAGGAUUUCCAGCUGUUGCCAUUCACCUCAUCAGCCCUGCUGCCUUCUUAAGGAGAUCCACAGCCAGUAUUCGUUGCCAGUUCGUUGCUCCUCCAUGGUCUUUAUCACCACGAGUACCUGGGAUACCCUCCGGAACGGUCCGUUCAGUCCACGCUCACCUCGCCAGCUGUUCAUGCCCUCUCAGCCUUCACAGAAGCCCUCCAGCCACGCCACGUCUUCCUGCUAUUCACCUGCAAUCUGGAACAGAAGAUUCCGCUUUUGGAAAAUCACCUGCAAGAAAAAUAAAUCAAACUACUUACCAUA
Molecule: long non-coding RNA, 613 nt
Organism: Oryzias latipes (Japanese medaka)
Lineage: Eukaryota; Metazoa; Chordata; Actinopteri; Beloniformes; Adrianichthyidae
Source: RefSeq, a predicted model, not a curated record